Molecule: ribosomal RNA, 447 nt
Filed under: uncultured bacterium
Lineage: Bacteria
Description: partial 16S ribosomal RNA
Rfam family: Bacterial small subunit ribosomal RNA
Source: RNAcentral
ACCAGACUCCUACGGGAGGCAGCAGUGGGGGAUAUUGCACAAUGGGGGGAACCCUGAUGCAGCGACGCCGCGUGGGUGAAGAAGCGCCUCGGCGCGUAAAGCCCUGUCAGCAGGGAAGAAAAUGACGGUACCUGAAGAAGAAGCCCCGGCUAACUACGUGCCGGCAGCCGCGGUAAUACGUAGGGGGCAAGCGUUAUCCGGAUUUACUGGGUGUAAAGGGGGCGCAGACGGCGAUGCAAGCCAGGAGUGAAAGCCCGGGGCCCAACCCCGGGACUGCUCUUGGAACUGCGUGGCUGGAGUGCAGGAGGGGCAGGCGGAAUUCCUGGUGUAGCGGUGAAAUGCGUAGAUAUCAGGAGGAACACCGGUGGCGAAGGCGGCCUGCUGGACUGCAACUGACGUUGAGGCCCGAAAGCGUGGGGAGCAAACAGGAUUAGAUACCCGCGUAGA